AAUAGUGUCGUUCGAUCGCUUCGGCGGUUAACACGCUACGUUGUUCGUUCAAUAUUGCGAAUUAUUGCAAAAAUAAAAGCUUUUAAAAUACUCUAAUAUCGGAAGGAUUUUAUUAUAUUCGGUCGUUUUCUGCAUUCAUAUUACGAACUUACGACACACCAUCAUUAUCAACGUAGAUCUAUUCUAGUGGACAUCGAUUUCUAUUCGUUAGAGGAAAAAUGGUUAACUACUAUAUUUAUGCAAAAGAUUUUUCUGGCUCGACAGGUGGAGACAGCUAUUAUCAUAGCAAUGGCAUGAACAGUUAUGAACAGUUCAAAAGCGACGUAGAAAAAAUAGAACAAGAAUCAGUAGUUGAGGGGAAGCCUCUAACGGAAUCCAAAAUAAUUUACUUACACUGGGGAGACUGCUGUUACGAAGUUAAUGAAAAUGAAACUGUUUCAACAUAUAAAAAAAUGUGUUGCGGAAAUAUGGGUACCUCACCAGAAUCGAUUAUCUAUUGGAUAAAAAAUAAUCUUGAUACAUGUGGCGAAAAUAACAGAAUAAAAUUGCUAUAUAUUAUUACAGACGGGUUGAUCGAUUACAACAGUGCAGACAGAUGUUUCGAACUUAAUACAGAUAUGCAUUAUGAAA
Molecule: long non-coding RNA, 630 nt
Organism: Melitaea cinxia (Glanville fritillary)
Lineage: Eukaryota; Metazoa; Arthropoda; Insecta; Lepidoptera; Nymphalidae
Exons: 2
Source: RefSeq, a predicted model, not a curated record